UUUCGAUGCAGAACUGCAAAAUCCAUCACUCCGUGAUUGGACUCCGUUCCUGCAUAUCAGAAGGUGCUAUUAUUGAAGAUACGUUAUUAAUGGGAGCUGACUAUUACGAGACUGCUUCGGAAAAGAGCCUCCUAAACGCCAAAGGAAGUGUACCCAUAGGUAUUGGGAAAAAUUCUCACAUCA
This is a non-coding RNA of Camelina sativa (false flax), 183 nucleotides long. The record is from RefSeq and is a predicted model, not a curated record. NCBI's taxonomy places the organism in Eukaryota, Viridiplantae, Streptophyta, Magnoliopsida, Brassicales, Brassicaceae.